RNAcentral lists this small nuclear RNA (136 nucleotides) under Callipepla squamata (scaled quail). Its description in RNAcentral is "U2 spliceosomal RNA". It matches the Rfam family "U2 spliceosomal RNA". From Rfam's summary of the family: U2 is a small nuclear RNA (snRNA) component of the spliceosome (involved in pre-mRNA splicing). Complementary binding between U2 snRNA (in an area lying towards the 5' end but 3' to hairpin I) and the branchpoint sequence (BPS) of the intron results the bulging out of an unpaired adenosine, on the BPS, which initiates a nucleophilic attack at the intronic 5' splice site, thus starting the first of two transesterification reactions that mediate splicing. Lineage: Eukaryota; Metazoa; Chordata; Aves; Galliformes; Odontophoridae. The record is from Rfam by way of RNAcentral.
UUCGCUUCUCGGCCUUUUGGCUAAGAUCAAGUGUAGUGUAGUAUCUGUGAUACAUUCAACAUUAAAAAGAAACAUUAUAUGUAUCUAUCUGAAGACAAGAUAUUACUGUUAAUACAAUGGAAAUCAGGGAAUCAUA